UGUGACGCUCUGGUUGCCGCAGAGACGCCCCGCCCCGCGCGGCGCUGCGGAACCGGAGCUCCGGGCGGCGUCGGCAGUGGCGCGGGAGGUGGCGAGGCCAGGGCGGCAGGAGCCGGAGCGGCUACCGCAGCGAGAGCGGCGGCGACAGAGCAGACCACAACGAAGGCGCACAGGCAGCCGAGCCGGGCCACGGGGAGAGCGGCCGCCGGGAAGCGGGCAGGAGGCUGGGCGGGCAGCGGGCAGCUGCCGAGCCGCGAAGCGACAUGGUGCUGCUCAAGGAGUAUCGAGUCAUCCUACCUGUGUCAGUAGAAGAGUAUCAAGUAGGGCAGCUGUAUUCUGUGGCCGAGGCCAGCAAAAAUGAAACGGGCGGUGGCGAAGGCGUGGAGGUCCUGGUGAACGAGCCCUACGAGAAGGACGGUGAGAAAGGACAGUACACACACAAGAUCUACCACUUACAGAGCAAAGUGCCCACGUUUGUUCGAAUGCUGGCCCCGGAGGGAGCCCUGAAUAUCCAUGAAAAAGCAUGGAAUGCCUACCCUUAUUGCAGAACCGUUAUUACAAAUGAGUACAUGAAAGAAGACUUUCUGAUUAAAAUUGAAACCUGGCACAAACCAGAUCUUGGCACCCAGGAGAAUGUGCAUAAACUGGAGCCUGAGGCAUGGAAACACGUGGAAGCCGUAUAUAUAGACAUCGCAGAUCGAAGCCAAGUACUUAGCAAGGAUUACAAGGCAGAGGAAGACCCAGCAAAAUUUAAAUCUAUCAAAACAGGCCGAGGACCCUUGGGCCCCAACUGGAAGCAAGAACUUGUAAAUCAGAAAGACUGCCCAUACAUGUGUGCAUACAAACUGGUUACUGUCAAGUUCAAGUGGUGGGGCCUGCAGAACAAAGUGGAAAACUUUAUACAUAAGCAAGAGAGGCGUCUGUUUACAAACUUCCACAGGCAGCUGUUCUGUUGGCUCGAUAAGUGGGUUGACCUGACCAUGGACGACAUUCGAAGGAUGGAAGAAGAGACGAAGAGACAGCUGGACGAGGAACAUGUCCGCCUCUGCGGUGGGUAAGGUCUAAUGCCAGGCCAUGUGGGAACCACAAGGAAGAAAGCAGCCUGUGCUCUUGAACUUGCAGUCUAGUCGAGGUCUUGGCAUAUCCAGAGAGGCAGAUAUGGCGGGCUGAGCUGAAUGCCAAAUGAGACAAAAGGACCCAGUGAAAGGAAUGACGGCGGACGACUAAAGUCACCCUUCCCCCCUCUGCACUUUUUGCAAGACAGCGGUCAACAGGAAGGCCCGGCAGCUGCACCCUCCCAAGUGACAGGCCACCUUCGGACGCAGCCUUUCUGUGCCCAUUCUUCAGGCAACUUUGGAUCCCUCACUGUAGCUAAUUCUAGAUGCCCUUUAAUAUUGUGAACAAAUAGACCGUCUGGUGUUAUGAAGCCCCUGUGCGCGGGAGCCUGCUCCUCCGAGAUAUGUGGCGUGUAGGUGGCUGUAUUUACAGCUCCUCCCUCUCCAACCAUUGUGUUCUCAUUUCUCUGUGCCCCCACCCCCCUUAUGUCCAAGUGACAUUUUUAGUCUUUCAAAAUAGCUGCCUUUUGUGAUGUGGUGAUUUAAAUGAUUUACGUUUGUUUGUUUUCAACCUUGGGAUAAACUGAGGUCUUUUGCUUCCUGGGCAGAUUUUUGUAAUUUGGAGUGCUCACCUGGGGAGAAGGGAUGAGUUAGAAAUACAGAUGUUUCCCCCCGCCCCACCCCCCGCAGUUCCACAGCACAGCAAUAUGGCUUCGUAACUCUGAGCUCUGCUUCCAGUAACCCCUUGUUAGAGUGCUCUAGGCACCAUGAAAGUACCCAAGGCCCAUCCAGUCUCUGUUUCAAAAAUCAAGCAAAUACAAAUAACCCCUACCCCAGGCAUUGCAUUGCUGGUCACUAGCCCUAGAAAUACCUAAGGCUUCUUGGCCCUUCUGUUGCCCACUCUUGUCUGAAUCUCCGCAGAGCCCAUAAUCUGCCCAGGUCAGCCCGCUACCUGGAGGGAACUGUGCAGUGUGGCCCUUAGAAUCGAGUCUGCUCCAUCCGUAGCUACUGGUCUGCCCCCGAGGAGCUCUGUAGGUCCAUGCUCCUCUCCCUUUUGGGCUGGUGCUGCCACUCAGCAAUAAUCGUCUUUCCUCCGUGCUUUCUUAGAUCCCUGUCCUCUGUCCGAGGCUGAUCAGGACACAAGAAGUCCUGCUCUCUUCAUGCUGCACAAAACAAGCAUGCAAAAGGUUUUUUCCCAGAAUAUGUUCCCCCUUGUCUCCAGUUGCUGGAAAGGAAUUUGGGGAUCAAGAGCUCAGCUCGUCCUGCGCCCACGCUGAGUUCUGUCCUGGACAAUCAAAAGCAAGUAGUGAUCGUAGAGCAGAACUCUACCAGAGCGGGCUGGUGAGAAGGUCCAGGCUCCAGGGGCCCAGAAGCUGCUGAGUGCGUCAUGGUGCCCUAUGACUUGGCGGAACCCGAGUAUGCCUUCCCAGUGGGCGAAUCUGAGAUAGCUGUGGUGCCACCUGACAUUUCCCAAACCCUGUGGAGUAUGUUGGCUGAGUGUGCAGUUACUCAAGCCCAUGCUAGCCUGGGUGCAGCUGCUAAGGAGAAAUCAAAUCUCUGUUGGGGCAGUGAGAAGUAGGAUGGCAUCGUGUGUCCUUAGGUUUUUGUCAGUUUGCCUUACUCAUGUCUAAGUGCAAUAAGGGAGCAUCUCACAGGAUGACACCUGCGACUUCCUGACGGCUGCUUCCCUGUGCCCCUCUUGGGGGAAAGGUGGACAGACUCAGCAUAGUUAGCUCCUGCCUUCAUCGAGGCCCCUUGGGGACCACUGUCCUGUUACACCUUCCUUUUAGGCUCCUCACCUUGCGGGGUCUAUGGGGAGGUUCAGUUGGUCUUAGGCAUCCCAGCUGCUGGUAGCACUUAUGUGACUGGGGACGACGAAGAGGCAUUCCUACUGGAGAAAAAUGUAAAUGUUUUCCUACAAGCUCUGUAUUAGCUAUAAUUAUAUUUGUGCUUAAAGCUUUCCCUUCUUCAUUCAUCAACUAAGCGAAGUCCAGCCGUGGGUUAUCCUGGGAGAAACAGUGAUAUUCUAGGCAGACUCUUGUUGAUGUGGCUUGAGGGGCAGCAGAUGCUUGUCUCCUUUCAGCUCUUCUCUGAGAUCCAUGCGUAUCACUCCAGCUCUGGGGUGUCUCGCUCUUUUCUCUGGUUCCUUCCUCCUCCACCUGCUGUCCCAGUUCAAAAGCAUCUGCAUGAACUGAACCAGAAUUUCCAAAGGUCCGCUGGAUCUGGGGCUCCAGCCCACAUAAACUUGAGAAGGGAUGUCCCUGGUUUGUUCCAUCCCUACGGACAGUGUUGCUGCUGGGCAAUGGUGUUGGCUUCUUUUAAGUACCUUCCUUCCCUCCUUUCCACCCCUCAAACUGACUAGCACUCCGAGAGGCACAUGACACAAGGCUCAGCUCCACUGGUGGCAACUGAGGAUGUGCCAUGCCCCUUCAGACCAGCAGCUUCCAUUAGAGUUCCAGGGCCAGUAGUCCCAGUUGGAGGCAGCAGUGCCUCUGUAGGAGGGGUGCUGGACUCUGGCCUUCUCAUGGAGAGCGGUUGGAGACAGGGUCAGUAUUGUGGGCACAUGUAUACCUUCCCAAAUUCUCUUAAAGUCCCUGCUGGGACUCCCUGACUUAUUUUAGUUGGUUCCUAGUGCUACUUCUUUUACAAAAUACACUUUGUAGAACUGAUUAGAUUACCUUGUUUAUUUCAUGUGAGUUUGUGCCUUUUUGUCUCAAUCUUCCAAUACAGAUAUAUUGGGGGAAAAAAGCAGUCUAAUAAAAUCCUAGACAGAG
Non-coding RNA from Sus scrofa (pig), 3829 nucleotides. The record is from RefSeq and is a predicted model, not a curated record. NCBI's taxonomy places the organism in Eukaryota, Metazoa, Chordata, Mammalia, Artiodactyla, Suidae.